This is a transfer RNA of Leucosporidium creatinivorum, 88 nucleotides long. It matches the Rfam family "tRNA". Rfam says of the family: Transfer RNA (tRNA) molecules are approximately 80 nucleotides in length. Their secondary structure includes four short double-helical elements and three loops (D, anti-codon, and T loops). The record is from Rfam. Lineage: Eukaryota; Fungi; Basidiomycota; Microbotryomycetes; Leucosporidiales; Leucosporidiaceae.
GCCUUCAUAGCUCAGUUGGGAGAGCGUACGCCUGAAGUUUCAGGUUCGCAUUAGCGUAAGGUCCUUGGUUCGAACCCGAGUGAAGGCA